AAGAAUUUAAAGGUCGAACAGACCUAUUAAUUGGGCUACUGCACCCAAUCAUUAUCUUAAUCCAACAUCGAGGUCGCAAGCCUUCCUGUAAAUUCGAGCUCUGGAGGAAGAUUACGCUGUUAUCCCUAAGGUAACUUAUUCUACUAAUCAAUAAUAAUGAAUCUAAAAAUCAUAAAUAAAGUAUAAUAAAUUAUAAAAGUUAAAUAUAUAUCUUUUGUCGCCCCAACAAAAAAGUCUAAUCAACAGCAGUAAAAAUGAAACACAACAGCCAUUAAAAUUGACCAUUAAAGCUCUAUAGGGUCUUCUCGUCUUCCAAAAGAAUUUGAGCCUUUUAACUCAAAAGCUAAAUUUUAACUUAUUUAAUUGAGACAGUUAGAGCCUCGUCAAGCCCUUCAUUCCAGCCCCCUAUUAAAAGACUAAUGAUUAUGCUACCUUUGCACGGUCAAAAUACCGCGGCCGUUAAAUAAUUAUCACCGGGCAGGCUUGACCUCAAAUAAU
Molecule: ribosomal RNA, 498 nt
Filed under: Mnais pruinosa pruinosa
Lineage: Eukaryota; Metazoa; Arthropoda; Insecta; Odonata; Calopterygidae
Description: partial 16S rRNA
Source: RNAcentral